Molecule: ribosomal RNA, 400 nt
Filed under: uncultured bacterium
Lineage: Bacteria
Description: bacterial SSU rRNA
Rfam family: Bacterial small subunit ribosomal RNA
Source: RNAcentral
UGGGGAAUAUUGGACAAUGGGGGCAACCCUGAUCCAGCCAUGCCGCGUGUGUGAAGAAGGCCUUAGGGUUGUAAAGCACUUUCAGUGGGGAGAAAGGUUAUUCAGUUAAUACCUGAGUAGAUUGAUGCUACCCACAGAAGAAGCACCGGCUAACUCCGUGCCAGCAGCCGCGGUAAUACGGAGGGUGCAAGCGUUAAUCGGAAUUACUGGGCGUAAAGCGCACGUAGGUGGUUUUUUAAGUCAGCUGUGAAAUCCCCGGGCUCAACCUGGGCACUGCAGUUGAAACUGAAAAGCUAGAGUAGGGUAGAGGGGUGUGGAAUUCCAGGUGUAGCGGUGAAAUGCGUAGAUAUCUGGAGGAACAUCAGUGGCGAAGGCGACACCCUGGACUCAUACUGACACU